AGGCAGGAGAAGGCUCGAGGUGCCCCGCGAGGGGAGAAUCGGGAAGCCGGUGAGAAUCCGGCACAGGGCCCGCUGCGGUGACCCGGACGCUCCGAGAGGAGCUGGGCCGGGAAGUCCGAAGACCGGCCUCGCGCCUGACCGACGG
Molecule: non-coding RNA, 145 nt
Filed under: Aeromicrobium sp. Root472D3
Lineage: Bacteria; Bacillati; Actinomycetota; Actinomycetes; Propionibacteriales; Nocardioidaceae
Also listed under: 1 other name
Source: RNAcentral